Molecule: ribosomal RNA, 168 nt
Filed under: uncultured bacterium
Lineage: Bacteria
Description: partial 16S ribosomal RNA
Rfam family: Bacterial small subunit ribosomal RNA
Source: RNAcentral
CUGGAUUCGCUAGUAAUCGCGCAUCAGCCACGGCGCGGUGAAUACGUUCCCGGGCCUUGUACACACCGCCCGUCAAGCCAUGGGAGCCGGGGGGUACCUGAAGUGCGUAACCGCGAGGAUCGCCCUAGGGUAAAACUGGUGACUGGGGCUAAGUCGUAACAAGGUAUC